Molecule: ribosomal RNA, 253 nt
Filed under: uncultured bacterium
Lineage: Bacteria
Description: partial 16S ribosomal RNA
Rfam family: Bacterial small subunit ribosomal RNA
Source: RNAcentral
UACGAAGGGUGCAAGCGUUACUCGGAAUUACUGGGCGUAAAGCGUGCGUAGGUGGUUUGUUAAGUCAGACGUGAAAUCCCCCGGCUUAACCUGGGAACUGCGUCUGAUACUGGGAGGCUUGAGUAUGGGAGAGGGAUGUAGAAUUCCAGGUGUAGCGGUGAAAUGCGUAGAUAUCUGGAGGAAUACCGGUGGCGAAGGCGGCAUCCUGGACCAUUACUGACGCUGAGGCGCGAAAGCUAGGGGAGCAAACGGG